RNAcentral lists this ribosomal RNA (563 nucleotides) under uncultured bacterium. RNAcentral's name for it is "partial 16S ribosomal RNA". It matches the Rfam family "Bacterial small subunit ribosomal RNA", at positions 355 to 922 of the family's 1533-position model. The record is from RNAcentral.
UGGGGAAUAUUGCACAAUGGGCGAAAGCCUGAUGCAGCAACGCCGCGUGAGGGACGACGGCCUUCGGGUUGUAAACCUCUUUUAGCAAGGAAGAAGCGAAAGUGACGGUACUUGCAGAAAAAGCGCCGGCUAACUACGUGCCAGCAGCCGCGGUAAUACGUAGGGCGCAAGCGUUAUCCGGAAUUAUUGGGCGUAAAGAGCUCGUAGGCGGUUUGUCGCGUCUGCUGUGAAAACCCGAGGCUCAACCUCGGGCCUGCAGUGGGUACGGGCAGACUAGAGUGCGGUAGGGGAGAUUGGAACUCCUGGUGUAGCGGUGGAAUGCGCAGAUAUCAGGAAGAACACCGAUGGCGAAGGCGAGAUCUCUGGGCCAGUAAGCUGACGCUGAGGAGCGAAAGGGUGGGGAGCAAACAGGCUUAGAUACCCUGGUAGUCCACCCCGUAAACGUUGGGAACUAGUUGUGGGUCCAUUCCACGGAUUCCGUGGACGCAGCUAACGCAUUAAGUUCCCCGCCUGGGGGAGUACGGCCGCAAGGCUAAAAACUUGAAAGGAAUUGACGGGGUCAU